This 77-nucleotide transfer RNA is filed under the name Actinomycetota bacterium. RNAcentral describes it as "Actinobacteria bacterium (sediment metagenome) tRNA-Ala". It matches the Rfam family "tRNA". Rfam says of the family: Transfer RNA (tRNA) molecules are approximately 80 nucleotides in length. The record is from RNAcentral. Lineage: Bacteria; Bacillati; Actinomycetota.
GGGGCCGUAGCUCAGUCUGGGAGAGCGCUACCUUGGCAUGGUAGAGGUCGUGGGUUCAAGUCCCAUCGGCUCCACCA